RNAcentral lists this long non-coding RNA (1136 nucleotides) under Canis lupus familiaris (dog). RNAcentral describes it as "lncRNA (ENSCAFG00000056902.1)". The record is from RNAcentral. Lineage: Eukaryota; Metazoa; Chordata; Mammalia; Carnivora; Canidae.
AGUUAACCUAAGAUACCCUGGAAAGCAGGGAGAGGUUGUGACUCAGCUCCAGGGUCAGCCUGGAUACCCCCCUGAUGAGGGGUCCCCGUCCUGAUCUUCACAGGCUCCAAGAUGGGUUGUUUGUGGGAUUACUACAUGCUGGGUACUUUCUGGUGGCGGGCCCUGUGCUGAGUCCAAAGAUGGCAUCCAGAGAGGAAUAAGGAGCAGCCCUGACCUCAAGAAACUCAACACCUUGCCCAGAAGCCAGGCAAGGAUGGUGACUGGCCAGCAUGCUGCGGAGUGGUGGAGGGCCAAGUCUCCUCAUCCAUGAUGUGGUGCGUGUGGAUUCCCUGAGGCUUUGCAGAAAAUACUGGGACUGUGGCAAGUGCUCUGCAAAACCCUACCAUGAUCGUGGAACCCAGUCUGUAAACAAGGAAACAAGGCCUGUACAGGGGCACCACUGGGGGUUUGAAUUCCAGACCUGUGAGCUCCAGAACCCCAGCUCUUUCCUCUCAGCCAACUCCUGACUGACCUGGAUGCUCUCAUGGGAACCUAGGGCAGAUGCUGAUGUCUGGAGCUGAUGAGUGAAGGUGACAAGGAGGGGGGAUGGGGAGGAUCCUUCUGGUCCUUUCCAGGUGAACUGUACUGACUUCCAAUCUAAGCUUUUGCAAUUUCAAGGUAACCUCAGGUCAGAGGCCAAAUGCACGGAGUCCUUCUUUGUGCCUCUUCCCCAACAUGUCACCUUAUGUAAUGGAACAUCAACUUCCCAAGAAGGCAGAGGCAGGACAGGAAGCCCAGAACCCCACCAGGGUUUUAGGGUUGUUUGUGGGAUUACUACAUGCUGGGUACUUUCUGGCGGCAGGCCCUGUGCUGAGUCCAAAGAUGGCAUCCAAAGAGGAAUAAGGGGCAGCCCUGACCCCAAGGAGCUCAACACCUUGCCCAGAGCCAGGCAAGGAUGGUGACUGGCCAGCAUGGAACCCAAGGCCAUGCUGGGCAGAGGGAUCCAGGUCACCCAGAAAGCCUGUGGUCAGCGUGCCCUUACAACCAGCUUGCACUCGACCUCACUACUUCUCAAGAGGGCUGUAUUGACAGGUGUGUCUGAGACAAUCUCCCCUGAGAUUUCUCCCUAUGCAUCACGUGGCCCCAGUCUGAGAAGA